This 378-nucleotide ribosomal RNA is filed under the name Klebsiella pneumoniae. RNAcentral's name for it is "bacterial SSU rRNA". It matches the Rfam family "Bacterial small subunit ribosomal RNA", at positions 1 to 373 of the family's 1533-position model. The record is from RNAcentral. Lineage: Bacteria; Pseudomonadati; Pseudomonadota; Gammaproteobacteria; Enterobacterales; Enterobacteriaceae.
ACUUAAAUUGAAGAGUUUGAUCAUGGCUCAGAUUGAACGCUGGCGGCAGGCCUAACACAUGCAAGUCGAGCGGUAGCACAGAGAGCUUGCUCUCGGGUGACGAGCGGCGGACGGGUGAGUAAUGUCUGGGAAACUGCCUGAUGGAGGGGGAUAACUACUGGAAACGGUAGCUAAUACCGCAUAAUGUCGCAAGACCAAAGUGGGGGACCUUCGGGCCUCAUGCCAUCAGAUGUGCCCAGAUGGGAUUAGCUAGUAGGUGGGGUAACGGCUCACCUAGGCGACGAUCCCUAGCUGGUCUGAGAGGAUGACCAGCCACACUGGAACUGAGACACGGUCCAGACUCCUACGGGAGGCAGCAGUGGGGAAUAUUGCACAAUG